Molecule: ribosomal RNA, 481 nt
Filed under: uncultured bacterium
Lineage: Bacteria
Description: partial 16S ribosomal RNA
Rfam family: Bacterial small subunit ribosomal RNA
Source: RNAcentral
GAUGAACGCUGGCGGCGUGCCUAACACAUGCAAGUCGAACGGAGAUUACGGACGGAAGUUUUCGGAUGGAAGACUGUAAUUCUUAGUGGCGGACGGGUGAGUAACGCGUGGGCAACCUGCCCUAUACAGGGGGAUAGCAGCUGGAAACGGCUGGUAAGACCGCAUAAGUCGGCGAGACCGCAUGGUUUUGCCGGGAAAUGAGCAAUCAGGUAUAGGAUGGGCCCGCGUCCGAUUAGCCAGUUGGCAGGGUAAAAGCCUACCAAAGCAACGAUCGGUAGCCGGACUGAGAGGUCGGACGGCCACAUUGGGACUGAGACACGGCCCAAACUCCUACGGGAGGCAGCAGUGGGGGACAUUGCACAAUGGAGGAAACUCUGAUGCAGCGACGCCGCGUGAGUGAAGAAGUAUUUCGGUAUGUAAAGCUCUAUCAGCAGGGAAGAUGAUGACGGUACCUGACUAAGAAGCCCCGGCUAACUACGUG